GCAAACUUGGUCAUUUAGAGGAAGUAAAAGUCGUAACAAGGUCUCCGUAGGUGAACCUGCGGAGGGAUCAUUACUGAGUCCUGCCUCUAGGCAGAUCUCCCACCCACUGUGAUCACUACUCUCGUUGCCUUGGCGGGCACUGUCCCGCCCGCCAAAGGGACCCCUAAACCCUGAUUGUCGGUGUUGUCCGAGUCUAGUUUAUAGCGAUUAAAACUUUCAACAACGGAUCUCUUGGUUCUGGCAUCGAUGAAGAACGCAGC
This 260-nucleotide unclassified non-coding RNA is filed under the name uncultured fungus. RNAcentral describes it as "partial contains small subunit ribosomal RNA, internal transcribed spacer 1, and 5.8S ribosomal RNA". The stretch from base 1 to 73 matches the Rfam family "Eukaryotic small subunit ribosomal RNA", at positions 1759 to 1831 of the family's 1831-position model. Lineage: Eukaryota; Fungi. The record is from RNAcentral.